GGCCUCCCCCCGAGCGAAACGAUGAGCCGGGCGCGCGCGCGCGCCUCAUCUUGGGAGCAAUAGUCGCUGCAUCCAGUGCAUUCUGCGUUCAGUUGCCGAACAGCUCGCAUCUCGGUUCUGUGCUCCGUGCCGUGCGCACCAGUAUACUAUUCGGGAUUCAGGAUUCUGAUGAAAUUUUCGCGUACCCAGACUGUACCACAGCAACUUCGUGAUUUCUUUCCUUUCCUCUCAUAAUUCGGCGACCAUCUUUACGGACUCCGUGUGAUUGCGCAGCGGACCAAUUUUGUUUUUUUUCGCCUCGUACAGUGUGUUCUGUAAUCCAAGUGUGCCUUAAAAUUGGAAUUAAAAUACUUUUAUCACCGGGUGAAAAUUACAGUGCAGUGUUUGUGUGUUUGUGUUGAAGACUAAUUCCAUCGGGUAAGCUUCCAAUUUUUUGUUGGAGUUUGAGGAAGAUGUCCUCUAGUCCAAAAGUACCAAGAUGGCGUCAGAAAGGAAACUGUGCAUAUUGGAAGUGUGUGCAAUUUGGAAAGGAUCUCCAUAUGUAAUGAUGAUGUGUGUCCCGCGUAACAGAGAUAUUUUGAGGUUAGUUUUUCGCUAGAAAAUUUAGCUAGUCGGAAUUUGUCCUGCAGCGCUGCCUGUAGCUUCUGAUGUCGCACGUCAUCAUCGCCUUCUAGAUGGUGUUUUGCCAAGAGACGAGGAUGCAUUUCAGUUAAACACACAGUAAUCGCUCCCUUUGAUUGAAACAGGAAUUGUACACCAGAUGUGUGUAAGGUUAUGUUUUUUUUUUCUUCCUUUCGGCUUCCCUUUACUGGGAAAUAAGAAUAUGGUGAAGCGAUACCGCAAUACGAACAAUGUUGGUGGUGCGUUGGGCAGCGUUGUUACGAGCAUGACGAACACGUGAUCACCAGACGAGGCUUUUGGUGCGGUGCGAGUGGUGUUCGAAGGAGAAAAAAAAAUCGGUGACAAAUAUGAUAAAACAUCAGCGGCAGUAAGAUGUACCCCACCCGGACCGAUGUACGUGAAAGUUCUUUUCCAUGGUUUUGCAUAGCAGACAUUGGUAGACGUUUGCUCCUUGCCGAAGAUCUCCCAGGGUUGGUCCUACAGAAUUCUCGAACGUUGGGAGAAUGAGUUCCAGUAUCGCGUGAUGUAACGUCAUCUUCUAGCUUGCAAAAAAGCUGCGAAAGUUCCAUGCUUCCUUGCAUUCAAUAGUAAUGUUUGAAACCCCUAUGGAAUGUAAAGAAGUAUGGAGCGCUCGGGCUAGUUCAACGCUCUAUGUGGGUUCGCGCUGCCUCAUGUAUGUGUGCUGCAGAAGCAGAGAGAUCCUUUUAGCAUAUUUACGUUAAUCCAUCAAGCAACCCAUGAUAGACAUUCUCGCAGCCAACGCGAACUGUACGAACAUCAUCCAAGGAGCAGCGGCAGCACGUACAUCUUCAUUCUACCCGAGAGGAGACACAUCCCGGGCUAUUUAUAGCCCGAAAAAAAAAAUACAACCAGCCUACCCGAGACGGUUCAACGUGUCGUCGCUUCUGACCGCACAUUGCGAAUCGCGUUGCAGCAAGAGAUGGUUUGGGACCAGAGAGAAGGAACACGCACGCGGAUGCUUGUACCACGCCGGAGGUUGUAACUGAGCCGUAACGAAACGGAGGAUGUAAAAAUAUCUUCAGCUCUACCCGAAGCGCACUGAAGCUGCGCCGCCGGACCAGCGGGCUUGCAACUGCGCCUGCGUAAUACGCACAGAGUGGGCACAGAAGUAGGCGCGCGCGCGCGCCACCAGAUAGCUGCGGAAGAAGCCGGAUGGGUUUCCGUGCGCGGCGGAAGAUUUAUUUUUAGAAAAAAACUAGGCACACACGUUCGUCACUUUCGCGCACAAUCGCGUCCUAAAAUAUGUCAUUUCUUCUAGUGUUAAGGAAGGUGGUGUGUGUGGGUUUAUUUUUUAAUACGCGUUGUAACUGUUUAACUCUCUCGGAUUUGGGGAAAUAAAAUAGAAUUAUAUUGAUGAUAUAUGAA
Anopheles stephensi (Asian malaria mosquito) is the source of this 2007-nucleotide long non-coding RNA. RefSeq lists it as uncharacterized. The record is from RefSeq and is a predicted model, not a curated record. Lineage: Eukaryota; Metazoa; Arthropoda; Insecta; Diptera; Culicidae. The transcript has 2 exons.